RNAcentral lists this long non-coding RNA (212 nucleotides) under Salvia miltiorrhiza (redroot sage). RNAcentral's name for it is "long non-coding RNA (SMIL_LNC011052)". The record is from RNAcentral. Lineage: Eukaryota; Viridiplantae; Streptophyta; Magnoliopsida; Lamiales; Lamiaceae.
GGGGGGAUGAAAUGCGGUAAAUGAGAGUAAAAUCCGGUGGUUGCAGUUUUUAAUGAUUUGCACAGAUACCAAAAUGCCCUUAUUCUAUUUAAAAUGUAAUUUCGAACAAUAUUUGUGGUAAUUAAAAUUGGGCAGCGGAUUUAUUUUAAACCGCACGAUUAAGCGGUUUUAAGGGCUAAGAUUUAUUCUCUAUUCUCUAUACAUAGGGUAUU